Molecule: ribosomal RNA, 446 nt
Filed under: uncultured bacterium
Lineage: Bacteria
Description: partial 16S ribosomal RNA
Rfam family: Bacterial small subunit ribosomal RNA
Source: RNAcentral
CCUACGGGCGGCAGCAGUCGAGAAUCAUUCACAAUGGGGGAAACCCUGAUGGUGCGACGCCGCGUGGGGGAAUGAAGGUCUUCGGAUUGUAAACCCCUGUCAUGUGGGAGCAAAUUAAAAAGAUAGUACCACAAGAGGAAGAGACGGCUAACUCUGUGCCAGCAGCCGCCGUAAUACAGAGGUCUCAAGCGUUGUUCGGAAACACUGGACGUAAAGGGUGCGGAGGCUGUUUCGUAAGUCGGGUGUGAAAGGCGCGGGCUCAACCCGCGGACGGCACAUGAUACUGCGAGACUAGAGUAAUGGAGGGGGAACCGGAAUUCUCGGUGUAGCAGUGAAAUGCGUAGAUAUCGAGAGGAACACUCGUGGCGAAGGCGGGUUCCUGGACAUUAACUGACGCUGAGGCACGAAGGCCAGGGGAGCGAAAGGGAUUAGAUACCCCUGUAGUC